UUCAACAGCCGCUCGCAACGCGAGGGAGAGCCGGCAGCGGCCUUCAUCACUGCGCUGUAUGCGUUGGUUGAAACAUGUGAAUACUGCAGCCUCAAAGACGAGCUUCUCAGGGAUCGAAUCGUGGUCGGAGUUCGAGACGAAAAACUGUCCACAAAGUUGCAAAUAGAGAGCAAACCUCUUAUUUCAACUCCUUUCCCUGACCGCCCAUGGCAAAGGGUGGCAAUGGAUCUUUUUCAUGACAAUGGGAAGCACUACUUGUUAGUAACGGACUGCUACUCCCGCUACAUCAAAAUCGCUCUUCUGGAGAACCAGAGGCCGGAGACAGUCAUCCUUAAGUCAAAGUCGGUUCUUGCGAGACAUGGGAUUCCGGAAAUGGUGGUCACGAACAACGGGCCACAGUUUCGCUCAGAGUUCACCAUUUUUGCCAAGGAUUGAGGUUUUGCCCACUGCACUUCGAGCCCCAAAUAUCCACAAAGUAAUGGUUGUGCUGAAGCAGCGGUAAAAAUCGCGAAAGCGAAGAUCUCGAAAUCUUCUGACCCUUACAGAGCACUCCUAGCGUAUCGAGCAACGCCCCUGGCCAAUGGUUUUAGCCCUGCUGAACUGCUGUUCAACAGAACGUUUGCGUACACAUGUACCUAUCGCGGCGGAGCUGCUGCUACCAUCUGAGCCCAUUUGAAGGCGAAAGAAGAAAGCGUCAAGGAAUAAAUUUCAACAGGCGCCAUUCUGUCCGAGAACGUGAGGAGUUCCAACCUCAGCAGAAGGUCUGGGUAACUGAACUCAAACGCCACGGAACGAUAUUGAGUGUCGCUGACACUCCUCGGUCCUACUGGGUUAUCACAGAUCAGGGCACCGUUCGCCGAAAUGUAAAGCACUUAGUGCUAUUCAUGCUAAGCCAAUGCCCCAGUGCUAAGUCCAUCCGAUGGGACAACUCCACAAACAGUACCGGAAACGUCUGGACCUACGUCACGUUACGGAAGACAUCCGAAGCCACCAACCCGUUACGGGUACGACCAGAGUUAAGGAGGGAGAUGUUCGAUGUUCCCUGUGCUCUCUGUACAUGUACGUGCAAUUGUAUCCGAAGCUCUCCACGUGAGGGUGCAACGUACCUAAAGGCUGAGAAGGAAAGUUGCAGGAAAAUGCCAUCAUGAGAUAUCAAGGCGCCGAGGAAGAGACCCCACAAAACAGGAUCCCGUCACGUCUGAUGUCUGACGCAGUUGCACAACAGUUCAGCUACAGAGGGCGCAAGGGAAAGGAAAACUUCAGCGCUCUCUAUGUGUGCAAGAUCAUCGUUAGUACGGAUGUCGCCAUGGAGCGAAAAAG
Ornithodoros turicata is the source of this 1320-nucleotide long non-coding RNA. RefSeq lists it as uncharacterized. The transcript is spliced from 3 exons. NCBI's taxonomy places the organism in Eukaryota, Metazoa, Arthropoda, Arachnida, Ixodida, Argasidae. The record is from RefSeq and is a predicted model, not a curated record.